AUUGAACGCUGGCGGCAGGCUUAACACAUGCAAGUCGAGCGGAGAUGAGGUGCUUGCACCUUAUCUUAGCGGCGGACGGGUGAGUAAUGCUUAGGAAUCUGCCUAUUAGUGGGGGACAACAUUCCGAAAGGAAUGCUAAUACCGCAUACGUCCUACGGGAGAAAGCAGGGGAUCUUCGGACCUUGCGCUAAUAGAUGAGCCUAAGUCGGAUUAGCUAGUUGGUGGGGUAAAGGCCUACCAAGGCGACGAUCUGUAGCGGGUCUGAGAGGAUGAUCCGCCACACUGGAACUGAGACACGGUCCAGACUCCUACGGGAGGCAGCAGUGGGGAAUAUUGCGCAAUGGGGGAAACCCUGACGCAGCAACGCCGCGUGAGUGAGGAAGGACUUCGGUCUGUAAAGCUCUGUUAAUGUAGAAAAAUGGUAGUUGGUCUAAUAGGCCAAUUGCUUGAUGGUAUACAUAGAGGAAGCACCGGCUAACUCCGUGCCAGCCGCCGCCGUAA
RNAcentral lists this ribosomal RNA (501 nucleotides) under uncultured bacterium. RNAcentral describes it as "partial 16S ribosomal RNA". It matches the Rfam family "Bacterial small subunit ribosomal RNA", at positions 30 to 523 of the family's 1533-position model. The record is from RNAcentral.